AGAGUUUGAUCCUGGCUUAGGAUGAACGCUAGCGGCAGGCUUAACACAUGCAAGUCGAGGGGCAGCGCGGAGUAGCAAUACUCUGGCGGCGACCGGCGGAAGGGUGCGUAACGCGUGAGCAACUUGCCCGCAGUCAGGGGGAUAAUCGUUGGAAACGACGUCUAAUACCCCGUAACAACGGUGACCGCAUGAUCACCGUUUGAAAGCUCCGGCGGAUGCGGAUGGGCUCGCGUGACAUUAGCUAGUCGGCGGGUAACGGCCCACCGAGGCGACGAUGUCUAGGGGUUCUGAGAGGAAGGUCCCCCACACUGGAACUGAGACACGGUCCAGACUCCUACGGGAGGCAGCAGUGAGGAAUAUUGGUCAAUGGCCGGAAGGCUGAACCAGCCAUGGCCGCGUGCAAGGAUGACGGCCCUAUGGGUUGUAAACUGCUUUUGUGGCGGAGCAAUAAGGAUUACGUGUAAUCCGAUGAGAGUACGUCACGAAUAAGCAUCGGCUAACUCCGUGCCAGCCGCCGC
Molecule: ribosomal RNA, 518 nt
Filed under: uncultured bacterium
Lineage: Bacteria
Description: bacterial SSU rRNA
Rfam family: Bacterial small subunit ribosomal RNA
Source: RNAcentral